AGGGAAAGUUGAGAGACCAGAGGCAGCCGUGGGAAUGGUCCAAGUCCUUUCUGAGCGCGGCUUUCAGGGUUAAAGUCCCGGAAUCGGAGGCAUACCCCAAUAAAAUAAAGAGGCAACCCGGCGAUACCGACUAUCUCACCAGCCACUGCACCUAUAGGACUUGGAGACGUCACGAGUCACGCAACCGGCCCGCGCGCUGUCACGCUCGACUGGGGGCAGCGGCGGGAGGUUAAUUUCUCUCCGUCUUCGCCUAUGACUUCGGGGUCUGCGCAGCCACAGGUCCCAGACGCCUCAGCCACGGGAAUAAAUAAAGAAAUAAACAAACCCAGGGCCCUCUGGGGAAUGGGGUGGCAAACAUCGGACACAAAUAGAGCCAAGAUCGACUGGGGGGGGGGGGGGGAGCGACUCAGCGAAGGAGGUGGGAGCCCACCUCAGCCUACGAUUGGAAAGAAAGCAAGUUGUUUCGGGUGGAACGAGGUCUCUUACAGCAGGCAAGACAGUCUUAUUAUUUAAAAAAAAAAAAUUCUUUUCAAGGAGGAGCUCUCGGCAAAUGAAUAUCGAGGCACCUCCCUAGCUGGUUACGUUUGGGACGCGAUAACUCGGGGCCGCUUCCAGACCUGCGUAGAAGUAAUUACUGGGUUAUCACGGAGGGGAAAAGAGACCGACGUUAGCACGUUAGGACGAAGAGAGUCGUCCGCAAUCUUUCUUGCUGAGAAAAAGUCCAUUCGCAAGCUAGGUCCGGGGAUGCAACUGGUCCCCCGCGUGGCCCGGCGGGGGCGGGGUGCGAGUGGGUGGUGGGGUGGGUGGAGAGGAGCGAUUUCUGCGGAGAAAAAUUAAAGCGCUGGGGCCUGCAGAGGGACGAGGUGCUCUGUUUUGUUUUGUAAUAAGGGUUAUUGUUUUUUGGUCUCGUCAAUGGGCAUGAUUGCUAAGCAGCCCCGGGGCUUGCGCGCGCGAGCUUCCGCGUGCAGCUGGAAAUGCGCUAGGUUCAGUAGCGAAACGUACUGCGUAGACGCCCCCGGCGGCGCCGAGAGAAGAGCCAGGCCCGCCUAGCACGGAGCGAGCGAGCGCCGGGCCUUCUGGAAGGGUAAGUUCCCCGCCAAGGCGUCCCCGAGGGAGCCAGACGUCGGAAUCCAGACUCGCCCCCAGCUUCAGGGUUCGAUGCCGGGUUUCACGCGCCCCCAGCCCCCAGGGCUUUCCGCAGCAUGGCCUGGCUCCAGGCCCGGUCCGUCUGGGGCUGAAGCGGCAGCGAAAAGUGCAGGAACGCAGCCGACCGAGCGGCCCCAGGAGCUGAGGUCAGGCUCGCGGGGAGAGCGGGCAGUGGUUUCCAGCGCCGGACGCGGACGCCAGGGUCCCCCGGGCCGCAGACUCUGCAGCUUCGAGCAAGCAGAACCCGCGUCCCUCCUCUCGGCCAGGCCACAGGGGCGUCCCCAAGCUUGGCUUUCGUUUCCCAAGGUAUUAAUAAUUAUCUUUUCCCCAAUGUGAGGCCCGUUGGGUGCAGCGUUUGCUCCCAGAUGCCAAGAGCCGAACGCGAAAUCCUUCGCCUAAAGCCUUGAGAGGAGUUCUUAUUUGACCUCUGGGCCAAGGUGGGCCAGAACCGGAGGCCUGGGCUCCGCUGGGGCUGGAAGGGGAAGGCGAAACUCCGAGCGGGGCGAGUUCCUUUCCAUUUGGCUCCCUUUUCUCGCAUCCCUGCACAGGCCCCGCAACCCCCCUGGUCUGGCUCACAAAGGAUUCCGCAAACUCAGCUUCCCGGACCCACUUUCCCAGCCGCUCCGGAGGGCGCGCUGCGGAUAGAAGAAAACAACGACCUAGGUUUGAGAAUCUCCGUUCUUUCCCCCAACCAUUGGGCAGUCAACUCAACUCGAGGCAGAGGCGGCAGCACGCGACCUCCUUUCCUUCUUUCGGAGGUUUAAUGCUUUCCCCGACCAGCUUCCAGCUCCAUUUUCUCCCGACAUGUAUUUUCCUCAUUUUGCCAAAUCCCUGCCCUGAUUUUAAUGCCGCCAUGCAUCGGAGAGCAGAGGUUCCCAUCUGAAAAUCAAAACCCAAACAAAAGCGAGGGCCGACCGCUGUCGAUGUUUUUUCUUCAUUCUUUCCUUCUGUUUUUAAGAAAGUCGCCUUCAAAACCACCAUGUUUCUUUCCUCUCAAAAGAGAACUCGCGCAAGAAUCCACUCCCUUUCCAUUUUUUUCCCAUGUGUCCCCGCCUGACUCGGGUCUCUGCUGAAGGCGAAAAGUACGCAGAAGUUCGGAUGGGACCGGGAAAAUUAAUAACCAUCAUAACAAUAGAGAUGGUAACAAAACUAAACUUUGGCCAAGUCAUUUUGCGAAAGCAAGGGUCAGCCUGAGGCUGGGAAGUUCUCAGGGGGUCACUUUCCCUCCUGCCUAGUUAAAUCCGGCUCUGUUAUAUUUUUUCCAGGACUGCAGUAUCUCCCUUCCCAAUGUUUUAUUGGGUUCCUAGUUCCUAGCCACCGCCCCUCCCUUCUGACCAGAAGGAUUUGAGAAGAAUACUAACUGUUGUCAUUAUUUUGAUAUUCAAUAUUCCCCAAUAUGUCCACCAAUAAUUAUUACUCCUUAUUUUACUUAUUAUUAUUCAUGUUGAUGCUGCUUUCUGUGCUUUGGAAAUAUGCCUCCUCUCUCCCCCAAGUUCAGCAGAUGAGAUUUUUUUUCCCCCUUGGUUGGGGUAAUGAGAUGAGAAAUAGAAGUGGAAACAUCCUUCUAGAAGCCCAGCUGAGACAUCAGUGCUGGAGAUUUGCGGGCUCCACUGGAACAGAGAAGGCGCCCGGGCCGUGAGCACCACAGCGGGUCUCCUCUGGCCUCCUGCUGCUGGGUUUCUGGCCUUUGGGGACGCGGCCUCGAUAGAAGGGUCCGGAAGCGGGGACCACAGAUGCCUUGCCCCCCAUCACAAUCCCUCCCGGAAAACACUGGGCUGAAACUGACAGAGGCUCGCCCUGGGGUGCAACGGACCGAGGUCCCCGGUGGAGAAGUUCCUGGCGAUUGUUUCCGCAAGGGCCCUUCGGUUUCCUGGUCUCCAUGGCAACCCCGGAGUCCCGUCGAACGCUCUCAACAAUGGGGCGCCCCGAGGACAAUCGCGCACUUGCUCUGCGAGCUCUGUGUCCUGCAGGGCGCUUCCGCCCGUCGCUCUUGGCUUUCCGGAGCCACUUAGGUAGAUUCAACACGAAAGGGAUUGAAAAACUACCCCCCCUUUUUUUUUAAACGGAGGAGAAAAAUCGAGAUUUAGUAGAAUCUCUGCUGGCUAGGGUCGUGUCCUGAGCAAAAGCCCCCACUUGGAGUUCAGAGCGAUGACCUCGGAGACGCGCGCGCGGGCGGCGGGCAGGAUGGUUUCAUCGAAGCCCGCACCUCGAGCAUCUCCACCGGGAACCUGGGACUCUAGGAGUCUCGGAAUCUCUCCACAUCUGCUGCCCGUCUCAUCCGCACCCGACGCUCCCCGCAUCCAACCAAGCGACCCCUUCGCUUGCCUGGAAUAACUUCUAAAUGGAAGGAGAGAAGUCGGGAACUAGAAAUAGUGGCAUUAAGGUCUGCAAGGUCUUUAUGAGGGAAAGAAUACAUUAUACGUUUCCUUUUAGAGAAAACAUUUUCCAUUGUGGAUGUAAUAUAAAUAACAUUAAAAUAAUAUU
This is a non-coding RNA of Equus caballus (horse), 3630 nucleotides long. The record is from RefSeq and is a predicted model, not a curated record. NCBI's taxonomy places the organism in Eukaryota, Metazoa, Chordata, Mammalia, Perissodactyla, Equidae.